Molecule: unclassified non-coding RNA, 376 nt
Filed under: uncultured Acidobacteriota bacterium
Lineage: Bacteria; Pseudomonadati; Acidobacteriota
Description: uncultured Acidobacteria bacterium contains 16S-23S intergenic spacer region
Source: RNAcentral
UCCGGUUUAUCACCGGCGGUCCCGUCUAGAGUGCUGCCCGUACGGGCGAGCAACUAGAGGCAAGGGUUGCGCUCGUUGCGGGACUUAACCCAACAUCUCACGACACGAGCUGACGACAGCCAUGCAGCACCUCUGUAAAUGUCUAUUGCUAGCCGUUUCCAUCUCUGAAAACUUCAUUCACAGUUCAAACCCAGGUAAGGUUCUUCGCGUUGCAUCGAAUUGAACCACAUGCUCCACCGCUUGUGCGGGCCCCCGUCAAUUCCUUUGAGUUUCAGACUUGCGACCGUACUCCCCAGGCGGUGCACUUAUCGCGUUAACUUCGGCACAAACCGAAACCGGCUUACACCAAGUGCACAUUGUUUACGGCUAGGACUAC